Molecule: ribosomal RNA, 994 nt
Filed under: uncultured Flavobacteriales bacterium
Lineage: Bacteria; Pseudomonadati; Bacteroidota; Flavobacteriia; Flavobacteriales
Description: bacterial SSU rRNA
Rfam family: Bacterial small subunit ribosomal RNA
Source: RNAcentral
UCGAUUGUAUCGCCCUUAGAGUUUGAUCCUGGCUCAGGAUGAACGCUAGCGGCAGGCUUAAUACAUGCAAGUCGAACGGGAAUUGGGUAGCAAUACCUGAUGAUAGUGGCGCACGGGUGCGUAACGCGUAUGCAACCUACCUUUAACAGGGGGAUAGCCCGGAGAAAUUCGGAUUAAUACCCCAUAGUAUUAUGGAGAGGCAUCUUUUCAUGAUUAAAGUUCCGGCGGUUAAAGAUGGGCAUGCGUGCCAUUAGCUAGUUGGUGAGGUAACGGCUCACCAAGGCGACGAUGGUUAGGGGUCCUGAGAGGGUUAUCCCCCACACUGGUACUGAGACACGGACCAGACUCCUACGGGAGGCAGCAGUAAGGAAUAUUGGUCAAUGGGCGGAAGCCUGAACCAGCCAUGCCGCGUGCAGGAAGACGGCCUUAUGGGUUGUAAACUGCUUUUGUCAGGGAAUAAACCCUCGUUUGCGAACGAGGCUGAAGGUACCUGAAGAAUAAGCAUCGGCUAACUCCGUGCCAGCAGCCGCGGUAAUACGGAGGAUGCGAGCGUUAUCCGGAUUCAUUGGGUUUAAAGGGUGCGCAGGCGGGCGUAUAAGUCAGGGGUGAAAUGCCACGGCUCAACCGUGGAACUGCCUUUGAUACUGUAUGUCUUGAGUUUAGUUGAAGUGGGCGGAAUGUAGCAUGUAGCGGUGAAAUGCAUAGAGAUGCUACAGAACACCGAUAGCGAAAGGCAGCUCACUAAGUUUAAGACUGACGCUCAUGCACGAAAGCGUGGGGAUCAAACAGGAUUAGAUACUCUGGGUAGUCCACGCUGUAAACGAUGAUCACUCGUUGUUGGCGAUAUACCGUCAGCGGCCAAGCGAAAGUGAUUAGUGAUCUACCUGGGGAGUACGAUCGCAAGGUUGAACUCAAAGGAUUUGACGGGGGCCCGCACAAGCGGUGGAGCAUGGGGUUUAAUUCGAUGAUUCGCGAGGAAACCUUACCCUGGGCU